UUUCUUCCACGCUUCCCUUAUUAUUUCGACUACGAAUUUUCAUUUCUCGUUCAAACCCUAACACCGUUCGUCUCUGAAUCUCUGAUUCACAAUUUCACAAACCAAAAUCGAAUAACAAACCAUAUAUGGAUUCCCUCUCAUCGGUUUCUCCCUCCAUCAUCCUCCCUCCGACCGCCAACCCUCUCCGUCCACGGCGCCGCCGGAUGAGCCUCUCUCCGGUCAGCCUCCACAACCGCAACCUCU
Molecule: long non-coding RNA, 243 nt
Filed under: Fragaria vesca (wild strawberry)
Lineage: Eukaryota; Viridiplantae; Streptophyta; Magnoliopsida; Rosales; Rosaceae
Description: long non-coding RNA (FVES_LNC002030)
Source: RNAcentral